This 495-nucleotide ribosomal RNA is filed under the name uncultured bacterium. RNAcentral's name for it is "partial 16S ribosomal RNA". It matches the Rfam family "Bacterial small subunit ribosomal RNA", at positions 28 to 507 of the family's 1533-position model. The record is from RNAcentral.
GACGAACGCUGGCGGCGUGCCUAAUACAUGCAAGUCGAACGCUGAAGGAGGAGCUUGCUCUUCUGGAUGAGUUGCGAACGGGUGAGUAACGCGUAGGUAACCUGCCUGGUAGCGGGGGAUAACUAUUGGAAACGAUAGCUAAUACCGCAUAACAGUAGAUGUUGCAUGACAUUUGCUUAAAAGGUGCAAUUGCAUCACUACCAGAUGGACCUGCGUUGUAUUAGCUAGUUGGUGGGGUAACGGCUCACCAAGGCGACGAUACAUAGCCGACCUGAGAGGGUGAUCGGCCACACUGGGACUGAGACACGGCCCAGACUCCUACGGGAGGCAGCAGUAGGGAAUCUUCGGCAAUGGACGGAAGUCUGACCGAGCAACGCCGCGUGAGUGAAGAAGGUUUUCGGAUCGUAAAGCUCUGUUGUAAGAGAAGAACGAGUGUGAGAGUGGAAAGUUCACACUGUGACGGUAUCUUGCCAGAAAGGGACGGCUAACUACGUG